AACAAUCACCUGAUCUGAAAACAUGAAUUUUUAUAAAACGUGAGUACAAUACUCAGUGAGUGAAUAUUAGAAGGGAACAAGCAAUCUCAACUAGGAAAUUUGACAAUCAUGAUGCACCGGUUGAAAAUAAGGCCAUUUUCAUCUAACUACUAUUCCAAACCCUUUUUCCCUUAAAACAAGCCAUCCUGCUAAAAUAACAAUAGUAACAUGUAACACAUGUAAACUUCCAAAUUUCAACAAAACAAACGCUUACAUAUUUGCAUUUACAACCAUAUACCCAUCAUCAACAUGCACACCAUCCCAUCAUCAUCAUCUCAUAUGCAACAGCUUAUGCGCAUAUAGCCGGGUCAACAACGGCUUAUGUGCACUCCCACUCACACAUAGCUGGGUCAACAACAGUUUAUGUGCACUCCUACUUGCACAUAGCCGGGUCAGCACUCCUACUCAUACAUAGCCGGGUCCAAAUCAACAUGCAAAGAAGCAUCCAAUGCAUAUCAUGCAUUUUAUCAUAUUGUGAUAACACAUAAACCAUUGUAUAGCACAUUUUCACAAUAUAAAAUCAUUUUACUAAAAGCUUGUUCCCAAGGUACAUUUUCUAAGACAAGUUGGAUAGAAUCUUUCAUAUUCCCCAAAACAAGUUUGAAAUGCAAGUCCACUCACCGGUAUUAGGAGUAGAAAUACUCCUAUUUUCAGUCCGCGGGUACAGUCCUUUACCCGUAUGCAAUGGCUCACCACCUAGCCAUAAUCCAUGACACAUAUUCCAAUUAAAUUGUGUCUAACAGUCAUAAGCUAUUUCAGGCUCGAUAUAUAUAUGAUAUGAAAUGAAAAAUGCACGGGUAGCCAUCUAGACCCGGUAUUGGCCUAAGUCGAUUUUUCAUCCGAUAAAUUGGCCAAUGCAUCCAAUUUCACUCCAAAUUAAUCCAUUUCUCCUCUAAUACCUUAAUUUACCACAUACCAUUUAAAUAAAGCCAAAUUCAGCAUUAGAACCCUCACAGUUCCUUAUAGAAAAAUUCGGUCAUUUGGUGCACUAACACCGAAAAUUUUUCUACAUAACCGUUUCACCUUAAUUCAUCAUUUUCCAAGCCAUUUUCCUUGAAAUAAAAACAAUCCCCCAUUGAUAUUCAGCCCUCAUGGUUCGACCAACAAGGAACCCUAGAGAAAUUGAAUAUUUCUUUUGUGUUUUUGUUCAUAACCAUGCUUAACUAUCCCUAAACACUAACAUAGUCUAAAAUCAAAUUAUUCCAACAACAAUUCCUCUUCCAUACCCAUUUUUCAGAAUUGAAUUCAUCAUGAUAACUCAAUAUUCAACCAUGGAAAUCAAGAACAAAAGCAUGGGUAAGCUAGGUAUCAAGGAGAAUUAAAGAAAUUUUAACUUACCUAGCUUGUUUCCUUGA
This 1394-nucleotide long non-coding RNA is filed under the name Theobroma cacao (cacao). Its description in RNAcentral is "long non-coding RNA (TCAC_LNC002633)". Lineage: Eukaryota; Viridiplantae; Streptophyta; Magnoliopsida; Malvales; Malvaceae. The record is from RNAcentral.